AGUAACGGCGAGUGAACAGGGAAAAGCCCAAAUUUGUAAUCUGGCACUUUUUACAAGUGUCCGAGUUGUAAUUUGUAGAGCUGUUAUCCGUACUGGACCAUGUACAAGUCUGUUGAAAAGCAGCAUCAUUGAAGGUGAAAAUCCUGUAGAUGAUAUGGACUACCAGUAUAUUUGUGAUACGGUUUCUAAGAGUCGAGUUGUUUGGGAAUGCAGCUCAAAGUGGGUGGUAAAUUCCAUCUAAGGCUAAAUAUAAGUGAGAGACCGAUAGCAAACAAGUACCGUGAGGGAAAGAUGAAAAGAACUUUGAAAAUAGAGUUAACAGUACGUGAAAUUGCUGAAAGGGAAACGUUUGAAGUUAGUUUUGUAUUCGUUGGAUCAGCUUCGCAAGGAGUGUAUUCUGAUGAUAAGCAAGUCAACAUCAGUCUAUGAGUGUUGGAUAAGGGUUUUGAGAAUGUAGCAAUUUAAUUGUGUUAUAGCUUGAGACUUGGAUACGAUGCUUUGGAUUGAGGAACGCGUAGUAAGCUUUGAGCGGAUUAGAAAGGAUCUCCUUACUAU
This 555-nucleotide ribosomal RNA is filed under the name Melampsora epitea. RNAcentral describes it as "partial 28S ribosomal RNA". It matches the Rfam family "Eukaryotic large subunit ribosomal RNA", at positions 82 to 619 of the family's 3401-position model. RNAcentral also lists the same sequence under 2 other names. Lineage: Eukaryota; Fungi; Basidiomycota; Pucciniomycetes; Pucciniales; Melampsoraceae. The record is from RNAcentral.